CGCGGGAUUAGAGUUUGAUCCUGGCUCAGGAUGAACGCUGUGCGGCGUGCCUAACACAUGCAAGUCGAACGUCCUGUCUCGCAAGAGGCAGGGAGUGGCGGACGGGUGAGUACCACGUGGGUCAUCUACCGUGAGGUGAGGAAUACCGGCGAGAAAUCGCCGACAAGACCGCAUAGCCUCGGUGCAAGUCGAGGAAAGCUCUCUCGAGAGAGGGAGCGCCACACGAGGAGCCUGCGCCCGAUUAGCUAGCUGGUGGAGUAAUGGUUCACCAGGGCGACGAUCGGUAGCUGGUCUGAGAGGACGAUCAGCCACACUGGGAUUGAGAACGGCCCAGACUCCUACGGGGGGCAGCAGUGAGGAAUUUUCGUCAAUGGGGGCAACCCUGAACGAGCAACGCCGCGUGCAGGAAGAAGGUUUUCGGAUCGUAAACUGCUUUUCUCGGGGAAGAGAACGGACGGUACCCGAGGAAUCAGCCCCGGCUAACUACGUGCCAGCAGCCGCGGUAAUACGUAGGGGGCAAGCGUUGUCCGGAGUUUACUGGGCGUAAAGCGCACGCAGGCGGUUCUUUCAGUUCCUGGUGACAGUCGUCGGCUUCUCUGACGAAGGAGUGGGAAGACCGGAGAACUUGAUGGCUUCAGAGGGACACGGAAUUCCG
Molecule: ribosomal RNA, 655 nt
Filed under: uncultured bacterium
Lineage: Bacteria
Description: bacterial SSU rRNA
Rfam family: Bacterial small subunit ribosomal RNA
Source: RNAcentral